CCUCUCUUCUCUCUCGUUCUAAUCCUCAACACAAACAGAAGAAAGAAGGCCCCGCCCAGCUUAGAGAAGAGGAAGGGCUCACCCAGGUCACCGGUCACACCAGGACUCCAGAGCCUGGACUAGGAGUGGGGGAAAGAGGAAGAGCAGGAGGAAGGACCGGGAGAUGAUGUUGUCUGAACCGGCCCUGGCAACCCUGUGAACAGCCCCAGGAUGUAGACGGAGAACAGGAAUGACUGUUGAGCAGGUGUACUGCUGCGGCCGAGAACAGGAAUGACCACUACGGCAAUCCACUUCACUCUUCUCCUAAGCAUCAAGAGAAAAGUCCAUACAGGGUCCACAAGAUGGUUUAGCGGGUAAAGGCGCCUGCUGCGGGGCUGACAGCCUUUGUGAUCCCUGAGAGCACACUGUGGAAGAGAGAACCCGCUCCCGUGAGUGCUCUGCUGGCCACUGCCGUGAGUGCUCUGCUGGCCACCGCUCCCGUGAGUGCUCUGCUGGCCACCGCUGCCGUGAGUGCUCUGCUGGCCACCGCUGCCGUGAGUGCUCUGCUGGCCACUGCCGUGAGUGCUCUGCUGGCCACCCCUGCCAUGUGCUCUCAGGGCAUCCAUGCCUGUGGCCUUCCUUGCCAAACUCAUUCUGUCAUCAAAACUCGCUGCUGCCAGCCCUCCAAGGGGGACAGGUGCUGGCCCCGUCCCUCCAAGGGGUGCAGGGUCAUGUUUAAUGUCACCCAGGUGGUGAGUGGCUGAACCACCUGCACUUCUACUCCACGUGCCAGCAAAAAUCUGCCACCUCCACAGGGAAUAAACUCUGUCGCCUCUGAACUUCGCGGGACCUGGAAAGGAGGCGUCCACCAAGGGCCCUCAGCCCAGAAAUGCCAAGGACGCUGCUUCCGCUGCUAGCAGCGGGUACAUACGGAGUGGGCGUGCCCGGCCCACGGCUGCCAACCCCUCCACGGGUACCACUCAGUUCUGCCAGCACAUUCCACAUGGCCACCACGCCCCAGAUCCUGGGACUUGGUCGAGGGCAGCACAAACCGUCUUCCGAGCGGAGGAUGUGGCCACAAAGGGACUCACUUGUGAAGGCCCUGUGCAGCCCUUUUCCAUGGCUCUGCUCUUCACAUGGGUCCAGAGGUCACCGCCCAAGUCAAGCAGCAUAACCUCAUCGCAGACCUGUCCUCGAGGCCUGCCCUGCUGCAGCCGGCCGGCCACUGCUGUCUCCCUCAUUAACCUGACGUGGCAGCAGCUGCUGAAAUCGAGGCACCAAAUGUGGAGGCAUGGUCCCGCCACCUGGCCUCCCGCCAGGUCUGUGAGGGCCACCAGCACACGCUCAGAGUCUCGUCCAAAUCGCGCAGAAGCGGGCAAGUGGUGCACACAGGCUCCACAUGGCCUGUGCUGUGACGAGACACAUCCUGCAGAGGGAGCCCCUUUUCACCCUGCAAGCCCCAAAAUCAUCACACAGUUUGAGAGGGUCCCUGAGGUCAGCUCAAGAAGCAGAGCUAGCUUACAGGGCCUGCCACACACAGCAGGCGCAGCAAGGCCUCCCGGUGACGACAGACAGUGGUCACUUUCAGGGGACAAUCACAGGAGAGCAAGAGCUUGAAUACGGUGUGACUGAGAUCCCAGCACUCGGGCUGAGACAGGCGCAUCAUGUGUUUGAGGCCAGCGUGAGAUACAUAGUCAUCUCCCGUCUCAAAUGACAAGAGUCCUACAGCUUAGUGCUAAGUGACUGCUUACAGGUGUAGGGGAUUUAGCUCAACGGUAGAGCACUUGCCUAGCAUGAGCAAGGUCCUGGGUUCAAUUCCUAGAGGCGGGGGUAGAGAAGGAGAUAAGGAGGGAGGGAACGAGAGACUGAGGUCACAAUUUCCCAUCUCCCAGCAGGGGACAGCAAGAGAACUCAGAAGCAGGAGAGGGGUGUGUUCCAGCGGGUGGCUAGCUGAGUCAAAAGCCCGUGGGCAGGAGACAGCAGGUUGGAAGAGAACCAAGGGUGAGCUCUGGGGCAGCCCCAGGAUGUGAAACCGUGUCCUGCCUCACCAGCCUCUUCUACAUGAGGAACAAACAAGAUGGAGAAGCCUCCAUUCCUGCCCCAGGUCACCCUUAAACAACCAUGGUAGAAAAGGGAGCCAGGACCCUCCCCGAGAGGACCACAGUCCUGCAGGGAAGAGGGGACGGCAAUGUCUGUAAUUUGUUUAAAUAAUCCUGCUGAACUGGAAGGAAAUUAACAAAUGAGAAACUAGCUCGAAAUUAAUCAAACUUCUCCCUGUCCAUGUCCCCCGCCCAACGCUUUCUGUCUUAAUGAAGGUUAUUUAUCCAACGAGCAAUAAAACAGGGAAUUAAA
Molecule: long non-coding RNA, 2331 nt
Organism: Mesocricetus auratus (golden hamster)
Lineage: Eukaryota; Metazoa; Chordata; Mammalia; Rodentia; Cricetidae
Exons: 2
Source: RefSeq, a predicted model, not a curated record